RNAcentral lists this ribosomal RNA (429 nucleotides) under Chloroflexota bacterium. Its description in RNAcentral is "Chloroflexi bacterium partial 16S ribosomal RNA". It matches the Rfam family "Bacterial small subunit ribosomal RNA", at positions 355 to 776 of the family's 1533-position model. The record is from RNAcentral. Lineage: Bacteria; Bacillati; Chloroflexota.
UGGGGAAUAUUGCACAAUGGGCGCAAGCCUGAUGCAGCCAUGCCGCGUGUAUGAAGAAGGCCUUCGGGUUGUAAAGUACUUUCAGUCGGGAGGAAGGUGGUAAGGUUAAUAACCUUGGCAAUUGACGUUACCGACAGAAGAAGCACCGGCUAACUCCGUGCCAGCAGCCGCGGUAAUACGGUGGGUGCAAGCGUUAAUCGGAAUUACUGGGCGUAAAGCGCACGCAGGCGGUUGAUUGAGUCAGCUGUGAAAUCCCCGGGCUUAACCCGGGAAUUGCAUCUGAUACUGGUCAGCUAGAGUCGUGUAGAGGGGGGUAGAAUUCCAUGUGUAGCGGUGAAAUGCGUAGAGAUGUGGAGGAAUACCGGUGGCGAAGGCGGCCCCCUGGACAAAGACUGACGCUCAGGUGCGAAAGCGUGGGGAGCAAACAGG